Molecule: long non-coding RNA, 2395 nt
Organism: Nelumbo nucifera (sacred lotus)
Lineage: Eukaryota; Viridiplantae; Streptophyta; Magnoliopsida; Proteales; Nelumbonaceae
Source: RefSeq, a predicted model, not a curated record
AUAUAGCUCUGAUGUCAUCGAUGAAUGAAAGGAGAGGGCUUCUCUUAUUUCUUCUUACAACCCAACCCAAAAGCUGGAUUGUGUUGCAGCAAGGCAGCCGAGGCCCAAGGUGGAUUCUAAUAAACAGAGGAUUCAAAUUGAAAGCGGCGAAGAAGGAUCACAACCUUCAACACAGAGUCCAUUCACCAUUUUAAAUGCAUAUAAUGCUGGUAGAGAUAUUUUGUGAGAAUACCCUUGAUCGGGAGGGGGUUCAGGUUGAAUGGUAGCAGGACGGAAGCUGAGGGGGAGAUCACGGAAAUGUUUCGAACCGUUUACGUUUAUUGCAAAAACGGCACCACAUCAGCAUCUGGGAAGAUAAACGUUUUUUGGCUCAAAAAUUACUGUUUAGUGCAAGGUAAACGUUUAUCCAUUUAUUUGCAUUGGUUUUCGUGCAUAUAGCCAUUGGGGAAAAUGAGAAUAUCUCGCUUUCCCCAACGGCUGGGCGUUGCUGAAGUGGAUCCGAUGUGGGUGCUGAUGUGUUUGUCUAGCGGUGUUGAUCUGGUGCAACCCGGAUCUACCAUUCUAAAGGUGGAUCUUUUUCCUCACUCGAUAACCUAAAGCAUUAAAGAUAGAUCUUCUUCCUCACUCUUUCGCUGCCUCAGAAUAGAACACCCGGAUCUACCAGUCCAGCGACGACCGGAGAGAGGUUUCUUGAGCGGAGGGAGGAGCAGCAGCCGCCAGUUUUAGAGAGUGUUGCCGCAUCUAAAGGUUUUAGAGAGAGAGGGAGAGAGUGUUUCUCGCCGCCGUAUGUUCUCUGAGUGUUGCCGCAUCUAUUUUCGUCAAUUAUUUUUUAUACUUUUCUUCAGUCUUCAACAUACCAGCUUGAGUAUUAUUUCUUUCUACAAAUUCCUGUUCAAGACCCAAAAUAUAUUAUUAUAUGUUGAGACUUGAGGGACCUAAUUGAAUUCCUGUAAUUUGUAUAUACCUUCCACCUGAACAGCCAGUGUUGACAAACAAUCUAGUGGCACCGUGCUUUCUCCAUUUUCUCGGCCAGCAUUGUUGCACAUUUGGUAGGAUGGAGCAUGAUGAAUGCUUCUCCAAAGGCGGGGGAGAAUGUCGCUUGUGGCUCCUUUAUACCGUCAUCUCUUCCGGCCACCUCUUUUUUUUUCAGAUAAAAAAGGCCAUCAAAAUGCUUCUCCCGGUACUUGAUGGUGCGCGAUCUAGCUAUUCCUAGUUGGAAGGUAAUCUGAAUUCUAAUUGGGCGGCAUGUUAGACAGUUCUGCAAAACAGUGGAUCAGAGAACCCGAACCUAUGCCAAGUGUUGAUGCAACUAACCUUCUACGGAGUGUUCAAAGGGGAAAGAAGAGAAAGGCCUCAAAGAGGUCCCAUUGGGAGGAGGUCGGUCCUUCGGUUCCGGCCCAACCCGAGGUCCCUGCGCCAGAGCCGAUCUCGACUGAGCUCCCGAAGGAGGAGGUUCGCCCCCAGUCUCUAGUUGUUGACCUGGAUGAGGACCAGGACGAAGGGACCCCACCUCGCGAGCCCGAGUGUACUUCGGUGCCCGAGCCUCAUCCCUUGAAGGAGAGCAUAAUGACUCCGCGGCUCGGGUUUCUUAAGAGUAAGGAUGUCGUGUUUCCUGUGGAGGUCGCGGAAUGGGCUGACAUGCCAAUGAGUCAACUUGGAGGAAGAGCAGCUAGUUACUGUGAACUCCGCUAUCCAUUCACUCGUCUACCAAUCUGAGAUCCAUUUGAAGCAAGCUCGAGAGGCCGAAGAAAAUGCUCGGAAACUUUACCGCGAGAUGGAUUUAGCUCGGGUGAUGUUCUUCGAGCCAAGAAGGGAGCUCGGAGCUAGGAGGAGGUGAUCCUUGUACUGACGGAGGAGAAGAAGAAACUCAAAGGGAAGAAGGAGGCUUUCCUUUGGGAGAACGAGAACCUCGAGGCGAUGAUCAAGGAGCGCACCGAGAUCUUCAACACCACCAUCCAGGAGGCGCGGGUUCAAGAGAGAGAUCGCACCGUCGAGGAGUUCAAGGAGUCCCCUAAGUUUUACGAACUUCAGGUCGAGUAUGGAUCUAACUCAUACCGGUCAGGCUUCAAGCUUUGCAAGUGGCUAAUGUGGCGGAAGUUUCCCGAGCUCGACUUCGGAUUUAUUUCCAUGUCCACCGUCACUCCUAAGAUGGCGAAGGAGGCUGACAAGGAACCCGACUCCUCCGAAGGGGAGAGUGAUGGUGAAAUUCUCGAGGCGAGGCCGUCAGGGGAGGCAGGCCGAGAGGACGUGGAGGAGGACCACAUGGAAACCGACCUACCUGCUGGAGGGGAUUCUGGCAGAUCUAAUGCUUAGUCGUGCCUCUUUUCUUGGACCCCCCUACAUACAAUGUAUAUCCCAGGCCUCCGAGUUCGGUUGUAGUUGUUUUUUUUUUUUG